This 618-nucleotide ribosomal RNA is filed under the name uncultured bacterium. RNAcentral's name for it is "partial 16S ribosomal RNA". The record is from RNAcentral.
ACGGCUACCUUGUUACGACUUAGCCCCAGUCACCGAUUUCGCUCUAGGGCGCGCCUCGCGGCGACGCACUUCAAGCGCCCUCGGCUCCCAUGGCUUGACGGGCGGUGUGUACAAGGCCCGGGAACGUAUUCACCGCGCCAUGGCUGAUGCGCGAUUACUAGCGAAUCCAGCUUCACGGAGUCGGGUUGCAGACUCCGAUCCGAACUGAGAGUGGAUUUCGGGUUCCGCUCGGCGUCGCCGCCUGGCUUCCCGCUGUACCACCCAUUGUAACACGUGUGUCGCCCCGGACGUAAGGGCCGUGCUGAUUUGACGUCAUCCCCGCCUUCCUCGCGGCUUGCGCCGGCAGUCCGUGCAGAGUCCUCAGCGUUAUCUGUUAGCAACUGCACGCGGGGGUUGCGCUCGUUAUGGCACUUAAGCCGACACCUCACGGCACGAGCUGACGACAACCAUGCAGCACCUCGGGGAGUGUCCCGUGGGAAACAGGCGUCUCUGCCUGAGUCACUCCCCGUUUGAGCCCGGGUAAGGUUCCUCGCGUAUCAUCGAAUUAAACCACAUGUUCCUCCGCUUGUGCGGGCCCCCGUCAAUUCCUUUGAGUUUCACCGUUGCCGGCGUACUCCC